GACGAACGCUGGCGGCGUGCUUAACACAUGCAAGUCGAACGGUCAAGCGAGUGCUUGCACUCGUGGAUCAGUGGCGAACGGGUGAGUAACACGUGAGUAACCUGCCCAUCACUCUGGGAUAAGCACUGGAAACGGUGUCUCAUACUGGAUACGACCAACCCUUGCAUGGGGUGUUGGUGGAAAGGUCUAUCGGUGAUGGAUGGACUCGCGGCCUAUCAGCUUGUUGGCGGGGUAAUGGCCCACCAAGGCGACGACGGGUAGCCGGCCUGAGAGGGUGACCGGCCACACUGGGACUGAGACACGGCCCAGACUCCUACGGGAGGCAGCAGUGGGGAAUAUUGCACAAUGGGCGAAAGCCUGAUGCAGCGACGCCGCGUGAGGGAUGACGGCCUUCGGGUUGUAAACCUCUUUCAGCAGGGAAGAAGCGAAAGUGACGGUACCUGCAGAAGAAGCACCGGCUAACUACGUG
This 469-nucleotide ribosomal RNA is filed under the name uncultured bacterium. RNAcentral's name for it is "partial 16S ribosomal RNA". It matches the Rfam family "Bacterial small subunit ribosomal RNA", at positions 28 to 507 of the family's 1533-position model. The record is from RNAcentral.